UGGGGAAUAUUGGACAAUGGGCGCAAGCCUGAUCCAGCCAUGCCGCGUGAGUGAUGAAGGCCUUAGGGUUGUAAAGCUCUUUCGUUGGGGAAGAUAAUGACGGUACCCAAAGAAGAAGCCCCGGCUAACUUCGUGCCAGCAGCCGCGGUAAUACGAAGGGGGCUAGCGUUGCUCGGAAUCACUGGGCGUAAAGCGCACGUAGGCGGCUUUCUAAGUCAGAGGUGAAAUCCUGGAGCUCAACUCCAGAACUGCCUUUGAUACUGGAGAGCUCGAGUCCGGGAGAGGUGAGUGGAACUGCGAGUGUAGAGGUGAAAUUCGUAGAUAUUCGCAAGAACACCAGUGGCGAAGGCGGCUCACUGGCCCGAUACUGACGCUGAGGCACGAAAGCGUGGGGAGCAAACAGGAUUAGAUACC
This 414-nucleotide ribosomal RNA is filed under the name uncultured bacterium. RNAcentral describes it as "bacterial SSU rRNA". It matches the Rfam family "Bacterial small subunit ribosomal RNA", at positions 355 to 786 of the family's 1533-position model. The record is from RNAcentral.